RNAcentral lists this ribosomal RNA (484 nucleotides) under uncultured bacterium. RNAcentral describes it as "partial 16S ribosomal RNA". It matches the Rfam family "Bacterial small subunit ribosomal RNA", at positions 28 to 507 of the family's 1533-position model. The record is from RNAcentral.
AUUGAACGCUGGCGGCAUGCUUUACACAUGCCAGUCGAACGGCAGCGCGGGCUUCGGCCUGGCGGCGAGUGGCGAACGGGUGAGUAAUGCAUCGGAACGUGCCCAGUAGUGGGGGAUAGCCCGGCGAAAGCCGGAUUAAUACCGCAUACGACCUGAGGGUGAAAGCGGGGGACCGAAAGGCCUCGCGCUAUUGGAGCGGCCGAUGUCGGAUUAGCUAGUUGGUGGGGUAAAGGCUUACCAAGGCGACGAUCCGUAGCUGGUCUGAGAGGACGACCAGCCACACUGGGACUGAGACACGGCCCAGACUCCUACGGGAGGCAGCAGUGGGGAAUUUUGGACAAUGGGGGCAACCCUGAUCCAGCCAUGCCGCGUGCGGGAAGAAGGCCUUCGGGUUGUAAACCGCUCUUGUUCGGGAAGAAAUCCUCUGGGCUAAUACCCCGGGGGGAUGACGGUACCGGAAGAAUAAGCACCGGCUAACUACGUG